GCUUGUCUCAAAGAUUAAGCCAUGCAUGUCUAAGUAUAAACAAAUUCAUACUGUGAAACUGCGAAUGGCUCAUUAAAUCAGUUAUAGUUUAUUUGAUGGUAUCUUGCUACAUGGAUAACCGUAGUAAUUCUAGAGCUAAUACAUGCUAUCAAGCCCGACUUCUUGAAGGGUUGUAUUUAUUAGACUUAAGCCAAUAUUCCUUGUGUCUAUUGCGAUGAUUCAUAAUAACUGAUCGAAUCUCAAAUUUGAGAUAAAUCAUUCAAGUUUCUGCCCUAUCAGCUUUCGACGGUAAGGUAUUGGCUUACCGUGGCAAUGACGGGUAACGGAGAAUUAGGGUUCGAUUCCGGAGAGGGAGCCUGAGAAACGGCUACCACAUCUAAGGAAGGCAGCAGG
RNAcentral lists this ribosomal RNA (393 nucleotides) under uncultured Scuticociliatia. RNAcentral describes it as "partial small subunit ribosomal RNA". It matches the Rfam family "Eukaryotic small subunit ribosomal RNA", at positions 30 to 432 of the family's 1831-position model. Lineage: Eukaryota; Ciliophora; Oligohymenophorea. The record is from RNAcentral.